AUGAUACGGGUUUCUAGCAACAACAAAAGUGACAUGCCAUAUCUAAGGAUCUUACUCCAUGGGGUAUCCACCAACCGUCUGAGGUUUCACAAGGAAAUGAGUUUCUUGCAUUCUCAUGUUAAAAAGAAUUAUAAAGAAACCAAGCAGAAUAUGUUGUCAACCUAUAUCAAGGUUUGCCGAAAGUUAUCAACUUCGGCUUUGUAUCCUGCAUUUCUGUUUGUGAAAGAAAUCCAAUUGGAAUUUGUCUGUUGUCGUUCUCAUGUACUUUUUUUGUUGCUUAUAUAUAUUUCAACCACUUAUGUUGUCUCUAAAUCAUUUUUGACGACUCAGGUUGACCACACUUUAUAUCAUGUUGGACCACCUUGGAAUUUGUAG
Molecule: ribosomal RNA, 375 nt
Filed under: Triticum aestivum (bread wheat)
Lineage: Eukaryota; Viridiplantae; Streptophyta; Magnoliopsida; Poales; Poaceae
Description: partial small subunit ribosomal RNA
Source: RNAcentral